GAAAAAGCUGCAGCCCAAAUUACCAGCUUUUAAAGCAACUAGAGCAAGGUGAAGAGACUUUAUCUGAUUGCCUCUGGCAUUUUCUCCAAAGCCACUUGUUUCUCAGUAGCAGAAAUAUCUUGCCCAAUUGGGAUGCAAUAAUUUCAAAGCAAGUAAAGGAAACUGCAGCUGCUCAGCUGAGUCAGCCAAAGGUGCUGGAGCCUUCUCAUGGUAUCUACAAGCUCAGGACAGAGGAUGACACUUGCCAGUCUCUCCCACUGUGGGCCCCACUCUGUGUUGUGCACAUCUUUUUGGUGUUCCCUGUCCCAUGGUGGCUCCCCAAGGAGCAAUGUAGGCUGUUCCACAAGCAAACAAACCAAAUACCUGUAACAAUGGCUCCAUGGAGAUCAGCUUUGAGCAGCUUGCUCUGAAUCAUAUGGGGUUGCCUUGAGGAAGAGAAUGGGAUCAAAGAGGAGGGAAAAAAUCAAAUGAACUGUCAGAUUUACAAAAUGUGAACAUGACUAUUAUAAUCAUGAUAAUUCUGUGAUUCUGUGAAAGGAUACCAAUAUGCUUAUCAGUUAGCCACAGUGUUUCAAGCAGUAACUCAAUAAAACUAGAAGUUUUACUGCAUAAAAGCCAGACUAAAUGUAAAAUAUGCCCACGUACGCAUCGGGUUUGAGGCCAUGGCACAGGUCUCUGAUGUACUGCUUCCAGAGCUCGUGGAGUGGGAGAAAGAUGGCAUAUCUGCAGUAAAAUAAAGAUAAAAUAUUAUACAAA
This is a long non-coding RNA of Zonotrichia leucophrys gambelii, 756 nucleotides long. RefSeq lists it as uncharacterized. The transcript has 3 exons. Lineage: Eukaryota; Metazoa; Chordata; Aves; Passeriformes; Passerellidae. The record is from RefSeq and is a predicted model, not a curated record.